GCGGAGGAAAAGAAACCAACAGGGAUUGCCCUAGUAACGGCGAGUGAAGCGGCAACAGCUCGAAUUUGAAAUCUGGCCUCGGCCCGAGUUGUAAUCUGUAGAGGAUGCUUUUGGCGCGGUGCCUUCCGAGUGCCCUGGAACGGGACGCCACAGAGGGUGAGAGCCCCGUAUGGUCGGACACCAAGCCUCUGUAAAGCUCCUUCGACGAGUCGAGUAGCUUGGGAAUGCUGCUCUAAGUGGGAGGUAAACUUCUUCUAAAGCUAAAUAUUGGCCAGAGACCGAUAGCGCACAAGUAGAGUGAUCGAAAGAUGAAAAGCACUUUGAAAAGAGGGUCAAAUAGUACGUGAAAUUGUUGAAAGGGAAGCGCUCAUGACCAGACUUGCGCCGGGUUGAUCAUCCAGUGGUCUCCACUGGUGCACUCUGCCCGGCUCAGGCCAGCGUCGGCUGUCGCGGGGGGACAAAAGCUCUGGGAACGUAGCUCUCUCCGGGGAGUGUUAUAGCCCUCUGCAGAAUACCCCCACGGCGGCCGAGGUCCGCGCUCUGCAAGGACGCUGGCGUAAUGGUCAUCAGCGACCCGUCUUGAAACACGGACCAAGGAGUCGAGGUUUUGCGCGAGUGUUCGGGUGGAAAGCCCCAGCGCGUAAUUAAUGUGAACGCAGGUGAGAGCUUCGGCGCAUCAUCGACCGAUCCUGAUGUAUUCGGAUGGAUUUGAGUAGGAGCGUAAAGCCUCGGACCCGAAAGAUGGUGAACUAUGCCUGUAUAGGGUGAAGCCAGAGGAAACUCUGGUGGAGGCUCGCAGCGGUUCUGACGUGCAAAUCGAUCGUCAAAUAUGGGCAUGGGGGCGAAAGACUAAUCGA
Molecule: unclassified non-coding RNA, 857 nt
Filed under: Phialemonium guarroi
Lineage: Eukaryota; Fungi; Ascomycota; Sordariomycetes; Cephalothecales; Cephalothecaceae
Description: sequence contains 28S rRNA gene
Rfam family: Eukaryotic large subunit ribosomal RNA
Source: RNAcentral